RNAcentral lists this ribosomal RNA (245 nucleotides) under uncultured bacterium. Its description in RNAcentral is "partial 16S ribosomal RNA". It matches the Rfam family "Bacterial small subunit ribosomal RNA", at positions 524 to 768 of the family's 1533-position model. The record is from RNAcentral.
UACAGAGGUCCCGAGCGUUGUUCGGAUUUACUGGGCGUAAAGGGUGCGUAGGCGGUCGGGUAAGUCUGAUGUGAAAUUCCUGGGCUCAACCCAGAAACGGCAUUAGAUACUAUCCGGCUAGAGGAUUGGAGGGGGGAUUGGAAUUCUCGGUGUAGCAGUGAAAUGCGUAGAUAUCGAGAGGAACACCAGUGGCGAAGGCGAAUCCCUGGACAAUUCCUGACGCUGAGGCACGAAAGCUAGGGGAG